UGGGGAAUAUUGCACAAUGGGCGCAAGCCUGAUGCAGCCAUGCCGCGUGUAUGAAGAAGGCCUUCGGGUUGUAAAGUACUUUCAGUCGGGAGGAAGGUGGUAAGGUUAAUAACCUUAUCAAUUGACGUUACCGACAGAAGAAGCACCGGCUUACUCCGUGCCCGCAGCCGCGGUAAUACGGAGGGUGCAAGCGUUAAUCGGAAUUACUGGGCGUAAAGCGCACGCAGGCGGUUUGUUAAGUCAGAUGUGAAAUCCCCGGGCUCAACCUGGGAACUGCAUUUGAUACUGGCAAGCUUGAGUCUCGGAGAGGGGGGUAGAAUUCCAGGUGUAGCGGUGAAAUGCGUAGAGAUCUGGAGGAAUACCGGUGGCGAAGGCGGCCCCCUGGACGAAGACUGACGCUCAGGUGCGAAAGCGUGGGGAGCAAACAGG
RNAcentral lists this ribosomal RNA (429 nucleotides) under Chloroflexota bacterium. RNAcentral describes it as "Chloroflexi bacterium partial 16S ribosomal RNA". It matches the Rfam family "Bacterial small subunit ribosomal RNA", at positions 355 to 776 of the family's 1533-position model. Lineage: Bacteria; Bacillati; Chloroflexota. The record is from RNAcentral.